AGUGAACGCUGGCGGUAGGCCUAACACAUGCAAGUCGAACGGCAGCACAGGAGAGCUUGCUCUCUGGGUGGCGAGUGGCGGACGGGUGAGGAAUACAUCGGAAUCUACUUUUUCGUGGGGGAUAACGUAGGGAAACUUACGCUAAUACCGCAUACGACCUACGGGUGAAAGCAGGGGACCUUCGGGCCUUGCGCGAUUGAAUGAGCCGAUGUCGGAUUAGCUAGUUGGCGGGGUAAAGGCCCACCAAGGCGACGAUCCGUAGCUGGUCUGAGAGGAUGUUCAGCCACACUGGAACUGAGACACGGUCCAGACUCCUACGGGAGGCAGCAGUGGGGAAUAUUGGACAAUGGGCGCAAGCCUGAUUCAGCCAUACCGCGUGGGUGAAGAGGGCCUUCGGGUUGUAAAGCCCUUUUGUUGGGAAAGAAAUCCAGCUGGCUAAUACCCGGUUGGGAUGACGGUACCCAAAGAAUAAGCACCGACUAACUUCGUGCCAGCCGCCGCUGUAA
This 506-nucleotide ribosomal RNA is filed under the name uncultured bacterium. RNAcentral's name for it is "partial 16S ribosomal RNA". It matches the Rfam family "Bacterial small subunit ribosomal RNA", at positions 29 to 523 of the family's 1533-position model. The record is from RNAcentral.